RNAcentral lists this ribosomal RNA (586 nucleotides) under Vibrio sp. RNAcentral describes it as "bacterial SSU rRNA". The record is from RNAcentral. Lineage: Bacteria; Pseudomonadati; Pseudomonadota; Gammaproteobacteria; Vibrionales; Vibrionaceae.
CCUUCGGGGAACGWUAACGGCGUCGAGCGGCGGACGGGUGAGUAAUGCCUGGGAAUAUGCCUUGAUGUGGGGGAUAACCAUUGGAAACGAUGGCUAAUACCGCAUAAUCUCUUCGGAGCAAAGAGGGGGACCUUCGGGCCUCUCGCGUCAAGAUUAGCCCAGGUGGGAUUAGCUAGUUGGUGAGGUAAUGGCUCACCAAGGCGACGAUCCCUAGCUGGUCUGAGAGGAUGAUCAGCCACACUGGAACUGAGACACGGUCCAGACUCCUACGGGAGGCAGCAGUGGGGAAUAUUGCACAAUGGGCGCAAGCCUGAUGCAGCCAUGCCGCGUGUGUGAAGAAGGCCUUCGGGUUGUAAAGCACUUUCAGYMGUGAGGAAGGURGUGUMGUUAAUAGCKGCAUYAUUUGACGUUAGCKRCAGAAGAAGCACCGGCUAACUCCGUGCCAGCAGCCGCGGUAAUACGGAGGGUGCGAGCGUUAAUCGGAAUUACUGGGCGUAAAGCGCAUGCAGGUGGUUUGUUAAGUCAGAUGUGAAAGCCCGGGGCUCAACCUCGGAACCGCAUUUGAAACUGGCAGGCUAGAGUACUG